GGUAGACUUGUGAGGAAGUUGUAGUUGGGAUGGGAGGCUAGGGAAGAAAUUACUGGAAACUCAUCCUAAUUUCUUUCCUAUUCCUCCCAUCCCUCCUCAAUUUCCCAAGGUUUCUCC
RNAcentral lists this microRNA precursor (117 nucleotides) under Fragaria vesca subsp. vesca. RNAcentral's name for it is "Fragaria vesca miR482c stem-loop (fve-MIR482c)". Its record names the gene fve-MIR482c. The record is from miRBase by way of RNAcentral. Lineage: Eukaryota; Viridiplantae; Streptophyta; Magnoliopsida; Rosales; Rosaceae.